CCCUUAGAUGUCCGGGGCCGCACGCGCGCUACACUGAAGGAAUCAGCGUGGCUUUUUCCCUGACCCGAAAGGGUUGGGAAACCCGUUGAAUCUCCUUCGUGAUAGGGAUUGGGGCUUGAAAUUGUUCCCCAUGAACGAGGAAUUCCCAGUAAGCGCGAGUCAUAAGCUCGCGUUGAUUACGUCCCUGCCCUUUGUACACACCGCCCGUCGCUACUACCGAUUGAACGGUUUAGUGAGGGCCUCGGAUUGGUCUCGGCCCGCUCUUUACCGGGCGGCGCCGUUGGUCGAGAAGACGCUCGAACUUGAUCGUUUAGAGGAAGUAAAAGUCGUAACA
This 334-nucleotide ribosomal RNA is filed under the name uncultured eukaryote. RNAcentral describes it as "partial 18S ribosomal RNA". It matches the Rfam family "Eukaryotic small subunit ribosomal RNA", at positions 1470 to 1796 of the family's 1831-position model. The record is from RNAcentral.